RNAcentral lists this ribosomal RNA (549 nucleotides) under Metschnikowia sp. (in: budding yeasts & allies). Its description in RNAcentral is "eukaryotic LSU rRNA". It matches the Rfam family "Eukaryotic large subunit ribosomal RNA", at positions 50 to 639 of the family's 3401-position model. The record is from RNAcentral. Lineage: Eukaryota; Fungi; Ascomycota; Pichiomycetes; Serinales; Metschnikowiaceae.
GCGGAGGAAAAGAAACCAACAGGGAUUGCCUCAGUAACGGCGAGUGAAGCGGCAAAAGCUCAAAUUUGAAAUCCCCCGGGAAUUGUAAUUUGAAGAGAUUUGGGUCCGGCCGGCGGGGGGUUAAGUCCACUGGAAAGUGGCGCCACAGAGGGUGACAGCCCCGUGAACCCCUUUAAAGCCCUCAUCCCAGAUCUCCAAGAGUCGAGUUGUUUGGGAAUGCAGCUCUAAGUGGGUGGUAAAUUCCAUCUAAAGCUAAAUACCGGCGAGAGACCGAUAGCGAACAAGUACAGUGAUGGAAAGAUGAAAAGCACUUUGAAAAGAGAGUGAAAAAGUACGUGAAAUUGUUGAAAGGGAAGGGCUUGCAAGCAGACACUUAACUGGGCCAGCAUCGGGGCGGCGGGAAACAAAACCACCGGGGAAUGUACCUUUCGAGGAUUAUAACCCCGGUCUCUAUUUCCAUGUUGCCCCGAGGCCUGCAUCUAAGGAUGCGCCUUGAAACGGGCCAAGGGGCAAAGGUCGCCCUUCGGCUGGGAUGCUGGCUUAAUGGUU